AGGGUUUAGGGAAUACGUUUUCAUUCCUUUUCCUCAUGCUGCGUGCGAAACCGAAGUGCAAUCGACCUCUAAUUCCACUUCAAGAUUUCUAGUCAGAGUUUUAAUCAAGAAAUGGGGGUGAUGAUAAAUUGAUAAUUCCUCAGAAGGCCACACAAGUUUUGAUUAUUCUUCUAAUCUUCUGUAGCUAGCAACGAAAAUGUCGAGGCCGAGAGCUUCAAUCCAUGCUCGUAAGUGCUAAGGUUAAUCACUUAAUCUAAACUCUACCUGCAGUGCAUUUUGUUGCAAAUUUAGUUUCUGUUUGCGAAUUUAGUUUCUUGCAAUUUGCUACUUAAUUUCUUGUGAUUUGGGUGUUUAGCAAUCAUCAUCUGUGUUUGGAACUUCUGGAAGUGAAGCAUGAGAAAGGAGUCAGAUUUGAAUUUUCAGAAGAGCAUCUUUUCAGAUUAUUCUACCUUUCUUGCAUAAGUUCUUGGUCGAAUUAACUGUUUUUUUUUUUGGUCCUAAAUGGAUGUUGUUAUUGGAUUUGCAAAAUGGAAAAUGGAAAUUUGUUCUUCAAACUCACAUUUUUUUUGGGACAGCUACGGAUGUCAUUUUGAUUUUGUAUUGUAUUGUUUCUGUUACUCUGUAACGCUGAAAUUUGCAUAAAUAAUAAAAAAUGUUAUUGUAUUUGCAAAAUGGAAAAUGAAAAUGGGAAUUUGUUCAACAUAUCUUUAUCCAAGAAUGUGUGUCCUACUUGAACUUGCAUCACUGAUGAAACUAGUGAACUGCUUUAAAAAUCUUGUAUUGUUUCUAUGGUGCUCGAAUUUUUAUUUCAGGCAUGUAAGUUGCAACGGUGGAAUACAAAGCUGAUUUUCUUAUCAGUUCUGUUUUUCUUUAUGUUUUUGAAGUUGUACCGUGAAUGAUUGUGUCAUCUGUUAAGAAAAUGGCUUGUGAGAUUCUUGAAAUGUUGACUGAAGGGCUGAAGAUUCAACCAAGAAAUACAUUCAGUAAGCUUCUUAUGGAUGAAGAGAGUGGCUCUUUAUACAGGCUGAAUCAUUACUUUCCAAGCCCUGAUGAUCAGUUUAAGGGUAGAAAUUUGAUUGGUUUUAGUGAAUACACUGACACAAAUCAUUCCUGUUUUGAGAUCUAACAACACUUUUGGCCUUCAAAUCUCAUUUAAAGAUGGCAAUUGGAUUUCAAUCCCUCCUUAUCAAAAUUCAUUCUUCAUUAAUGUUGGUGACUCAUUACAGGGGGCCUAAUUUAUGGACUCCGUCUCGGACCCCAAUAAUCACAAGACUGGCCCUGAUAGCGAUUCUGGCCGACCACCACCACCGAUCAACCCGCAUCUCUCUUCCAUCGCGUACCAGCAGUUCGACGUGCCUCCCCACUCUCUUUCUCAAUUUUGUGCAUAAGUUCCCUCAAUCCAUGUGUUGCAAAAAGAUGUGCUCUUAUAUUAUUGGCAAUUUCUGAUGCAAGAGGGUUUGAUGGAGUGGUUGGAGGAGCAGGUGUAUUGGAAGAGGAAUAAUGGGUGGGUUCAUGUAUUCAUAUGUCAGGAUCCCAAUUCUUAUACAAGGUUAUUGAUAGGGUGAGGAAUGGGGUGCUCUUGGUUUUAGAUUUUGGGAGGUUGGGUCGCAAUCAGGCAUCACUUGUUAAGGAUGUGAUCUUGCCAUAUUCACAUCUCAUUAAUACCUACAAUGAGAAUGUAGGGGUUGAGAAUCACAAGUCGCUGCUGUUCUUUAUGGAGAAUUCGAUAUAGAAAAGGGGUAAUAAUCUUUUUGCAAUUAAUAUCAUUUUCCUUUUCCGGCAGUAUAUAUGAGUUUGUUUAUUUUGGUAAUGAGGUUAUCAGUUAGAAAUUAUGAUAUACUCUUGCAACUUGUGAAAUUCUGUAUCCAUGGAUUGCCAUGUUCUCUUAAGUUCACUAAUUGGUAAUAUAACAAAUAAUAAGGUACAAAGACCACUUCUUUAAUUUCUAGCUUUUGGGAAUAUAGACUGGAUCCUCCAAGGUACGUGGAUUUAUUGCUUUGUUAGUCGGGCUGCUUUUAUUGUCUAUUAGUUGGGAUCGAAUCGAAUGCUUUCCUUUUUCUUCUAUGAAUGUUGACAAGUUCGGGUUUUCAAUGUUUUCUCGUGGGAUUGAGUGAGAAUUUGGCCUAUGUUGCAUUACUUUGAGGUGAAUAUUAUUUCAAAGAAUAGGCCAUAUAUUUGUAUCUCGAAGUUGAUUUGAUUACCCUGUGAAAGGAAAAUUACUGGAAAUAGAAUGUGUUUUCUAUUCUCGUUCAA
Molecule: long non-coding RNA, 2253 nt
Organism: Olea europaea var. sylvestris
Lineage: Eukaryota; Viridiplantae; Streptophyta; Magnoliopsida; Lamiales; Oleaceae
Exons: 2
Source: RefSeq, a predicted model, not a curated record